RNAcentral lists this ribosomal RNA (2067 nucleotides) under bacterium BMS3Bbin14. RNAcentral describes it as "bacterial LSU rRNA". It matches the Rfam family "Bacterial large subunit ribosomal RNA", at positions 3 to 1621 of the family's 2925-position model. The record is from RNAcentral.
UUAAGCUAUUAAGGGCUGAUGGCGGAUGCCUUGGCACCGGAAGGCGAAGAAGGACGUGGAAAGCUGCGAUAAGCUUCGGGGAGCCGCUAACAGGCAUUGAUCCGGAGGUUUCCGAAUGGGGAAACCCGGCAGAGGUCAUACUCUGUCAUCAUGUACUGAAUACAUAGGUACAUGAGGCGAACGAGGGGAAGUGAAACAUCUCAGUACCCUCAGGAAAAGAAAGCAAUUGCGAUUCCGUAAGUAGCGGCGAGCGAACGCGGAUUAGCCCAAACCAUGCUCUUUUCGGAGAGUGUGGGGUUGUGGGGCCCCGAUGUGAGAUGAUGACGGAUAGUGGAACGGUAUGGAAAGGCCGACCAGAGAUGGUGAUAGUCCAGUACACGAAAUCCGGAUUCACUCUAGGGUAACCCCGAGUACCACGAGACACGUGAAACCUUGUGGGAAUCAGGGAGGACCAUCUCCCAAGGCUAAAUACUAACCGGUGACCGAUAGUGAACAAGUACCGUGAGGGAAAGGUGAAAAGAACCCCGAGAGGGGAGUGAAAUAGAAACUGAAACCGUCAGCUUACAAGCAGUUGGAGCAUUAAUUUAUUAGUGUGACAGCGUGCCUUUUGCAUAAUGAGUCAACGACUUAUCCUGUGUAGCGAGGUUAAGCCGCGAGGUGGAGCCGGAGCGAAAGCGAGUCUUAACAGGGCGCAUUAGUUACAUGGGGUAGACCCGAAGCCGGGUGAUCUAUCCAUGUCCAGGGUGAAGGUCGAGUAACAUCGACUGGAGGCCCGAACCAUUGUAGGUUGAAAACUGCUUGGAUGAGGUGUGGAUAGGAGUGAAAGGCUAAUCAAACUCGGUGAUAGCUGGUUUUCUCCGAAAUAUAUUUAGGUAUAGCCUCGUGAGGUCACUAACGGAGGUAGAGCACUGUUUGGGCUAGGGGUCCCACCCGGACUACCAACCCCAUGCAAACUCCGAAUGCCGUUAAGUUGUAUCACGGGAGUCAGACUGUGGGAGAUAAGUUCCAUGGUCGAGAGGGAAAGAGCCCAGACCGCCAACUAAGGUCCCUAAAUCUGUGCUAAGUGGGAAAGGAGGUGAAACUGCUAAGACAACCAGGAGGUUGGCUUAGAAGCAGCAACCCUUUAAAGAAAGCGUAACAGCUCACUGGUCUAGUGGAUUUGCGCCGAAAAUGUAACGGGGCUUAAGCACAGUACCGAAGUUGCGGGUAUCAGAAACCGGAACACAGAGGACAGAAGCCAGACAGAUGAUCAAAUCAUUUGAAGAUCUUGAGGUAUUUCAAAGAUCAUAUAAAAUUUCUUUGGAGAUUCAUCAAAUCAGCAUAGAAUUUCCCAAGCGAGAACAAUAUGGUCUUGGCGAUCAAAUACGGCGAGCAAGCAAAUCAAUAUGUGCAAACAUUGCAGAAGGAUUUGCGAAACAGCGGUAUUCAAGUUCUGAAUUCAAGCGAUAUAUAAUGAUCGCUACAGGAUCAAGUGAUGAGAUGCGAGUCUGGCUAAGAUACUGUCUUGAUUUAGAGUACAUAGAGGAAGCAACCUGGAAAGAGUGGCGAGAUGAGUACCAACAAAUCUCCAAGAUGCUCCAGGGUUUAUACAGAAGCUGGGAGUAGGAAGCGCGCAGCGUCACACUAUUCUGAUCUUCUGUCCUCUGUGUUCUGGUUUCUGAUACGGUAGGAGAACAUUGUGUAGGCCUGUGAAGGUAUAUCGUGAGGUAUGCUGGAGGUAUCACAAGAGCUUAUGUUGACACGAGUAGCGAAAAAGAGGGUGAAAAACCCUCUCGCCGAAAGUCUAAGGUUUCCUGCAGUCAAGUUAAUCUGCUCAGGGUUAGUCGGCCCCUAAGGCGAGGCUGAAAAGCGUAGUCGAUGGGAAACAGGUUAAUAUUCCUGUACCACUGGUAUGGAGACUGUAUAAGGGGGGACGGAGAAGGAUAGGCCAUCCGGGUGUUGGAAAUCCCGGUUUAAGCGUGUAGGCGGAGGGUCCAGGCAAAUCCGGAUUCUCAUAACGUUGAGGCGUGAUGACGAAGCCCGCAAGGGCUGCAAAGUGGUUGAUUCCAUGCUUCCAGGAAAAUCCUC